This 102-nucleotide small nuclear RNA is filed under the name Saimiri boliviensis boliviensis (Bolivian squirrel monkey). Lineage: Eukaryota; Metazoa; Chordata; Mammalia; Primates; Cebidae. The record is from RNAcentral.
AUGCUGCCUCUGGCAGCACAUAUACUAAAACUAGAAUGAUACAGAGAUUAGCACAGUCCCUGACCCCUGAGCAGGCAAAUUUAUGAAGCAUUCCGUUUUUUC